GCGAGUGUUCACACAGAUUGCACGGUCAAAAUGUCAAAGAGAUAUGAGCUCCUUAGUUUGGGGCUCGUACCUUAGAUGGGUCUGUAGCUCAGCUGGUUAGAGCGCACCCCUGAUAAGGGUGAGGUCGGUGGUUCAAGUCCACUCAGACCCACCACUUCUACUUAUCCUGCGUCAUCUUUGAUAGCUGCGAUGCUCAUGUGCUAAAGCACACUGCGCGUCUCACUUCAAAUCUGACUGGGUUAAGCGAAGUGGACUUCUAUAAAGAAGUCCGUCUAAGGAUAUCAUGAUGGGGCUAUAGCUCAGCUGGGAGAGCGCCUGCCUUGCACGCAGGAGGUCAGCAGUUCGAUCCUGCUUAGCUCCACCACUUUUUAAGCGUAUUUAUAUUGAUAAGUGCCUUUAAAAAGUGGUUUAUCGUCGUGAUAAAUACACAUGCUCUUUAACAAUCUGGAAAGCUGACAAGUCAUUCUUUAAGAAUGACAGUAAAGUUCUCAAUCAGUGACAUAUCAUGUCACUCACACAAUCAAGUGUGCUUGGACUUUGUCUUAUUGAAUCAAUAACGACAAAGUUUCUAUUUGAGUCCGGCAAAAACAAAACCUUAGUUGUUUUCAUGCAAGACCUUUUGGGGUUGUAUGG
Molecule: unclassified non-coding RNA, 633 nt
Filed under: Salinivibrio sp. FAM 10
Lineage: Bacteria; Pseudomonadati; Pseudomonadota; Gammaproteobacteria; Vibrionales; Vibrionaceae
Description: partial 16S-23S ribosomal RNA intergenic spacer
Rfam family: tRNA (bases 78-151)
Source: RNAcentral